GACGAACGCUGGCGGCGUGCCUAAUACAUGCAAGUUGAGCGCUGAAGGUUGGUACUUGUACCAACUGGAUGAGCAGCGAACGGGUGAGUAACGCGUGGGGAAUCUGCCUUUGAGCGGGGGACAACAUUUGGAAACGAAUGCUAAUACCGCAUAAAAACUUUAAACACAAGCUUUAAGUUUGAAAGAUGCAAUUGCAUCACUCAAAGAUGAUCCCGCGUUGUAUUAGCUAGUUGGUGAGGUAAAGGCUCACCAAGGCGAUGAUACAUAGCCGACCUGAGAGGGUGAUCGGCCACAUUGGGACUGAGACACGGCCCAAACUCCUACGGGAGGCAGCAGUAGGGAAUCUUCGGCAAUGGACGAAAGUCUGACCGAGCAAACGCCGCGUGAGUGAAAGAAGGUUUUUCGGAUCGUAAAAACUCU
Molecule: ribosomal RNA, 420 nt
Filed under: Lactococcus lactis
Lineage: Bacteria; Bacillati; Bacillota; Bacilli; Lactobacillales; Streptococcaceae
Description: bacterial SSU rRNA
Rfam family: Bacterial small subunit ribosomal RNA
Source: RNAcentral